UACGUAGGGGGCAAGCGUUGUCCGGAAUCAUUGGGCGUAAAGCGCGUGUAGGCGGCCCGAUAAGUCCGCUGUGAAAGUCCAGGGCUCAACCCUGGAAUGCCGGUGGAUACUGUCGGGCUCGAGUCCGGAAGAGGCGAGUGGAAUUCCUGGUGUAGCGGUGAAAUGCGCAGAUAUCAGGAGGAACACCAAUGGCGAAGGCAGCUCGCUGGGCCGAAACUGACGCUGAGGAGCGAAAGCGUGGGUAGCGAACAGG
This 253-nucleotide ribosomal RNA is filed under the name uncultured bacterium. RNAcentral describes it as "partial 16S ribosomal RNA". It matches the Rfam family "Bacterial small subunit ribosomal RNA", at positions 524 to 776 of the family's 1533-position model. The record is from RNAcentral.